Molecule: ribosomal RNA, 403 nt
Filed under: uncultured bacterium
Lineage: Bacteria
Description: bacterial SSU rRNA
Rfam family: Bacterial small subunit ribosomal RNA
Source: RNAcentral
UGGGGGAUUUUGGACAAUGGGCGAAAGCCUGAUCCAGCGACGCCGCGUGGAGGACGAAGCCCUUCGGGGUGUAAACUCCUUUUCUCAGGGAAAAAGGAUGAUGGUACCUGAGGAAUAAGCCCCGGCUAACUACGUGCCAGCAGCCGCGGUAAUACGUAGGGGGCGAGCGUUACCCGGAAUUACUGGGCGUAAAGGGUGCGUAGGCGGCCUUGCAAGUCCGGUGUUAAAAGCCCUGGCUCAACUAGGGAGAUGCGCUGGAAACUGUAAGGCUUGGGUGCAGCAGAGGCAGAUGGAACUGCUGGUGUAGGGGUGAAAUCCGUAGAUAUCAGCAGGAACGCCGGUGGAGAAGUCGGUCUGCUGGGCUGUGACCGACGCUGAGGCACGAAAGCUAGGGGAGCGAACC